This is a long non-coding RNA of Argiope bruennichi, 1073 nucleotides long. RefSeq lists it as uncharacterized. The transcript is spliced from 3 exons. The record is from RefSeq and is a predicted model, not a curated record. Lineage: Eukaryota; Metazoa; Arthropoda; Arachnida; Araneae; Araneidae.
AUAGGGAAGAGCCAUAUCUAUUGAUUUCUUGUGCCGUUUCUAAAAAUAUGCAGAAUGAAUAUUUAAUUUCAUAAGUUCCUAGGCUUAAAAUGACCUUAAUUAUUAAACUGCCUCACUCGUCCCAGGAGUUUGGUUUUGAAUCCAUCCGAUUUUUCAUUCGUUUAAAAGAAAUGCUACCUCUCAGAAAUUAUCAACUAAACAAGUCCUGCUGUUAUUAGAGCAGCUGUCUGUGGACACUUCAGAUGUUUGUUGGAACAAUGAAGCAACGCCUUACCCCCAUAUGUGGAAUGACUGCCUUCUCAGCUCUUGGCAAAAAUUGUGUUGAUAGCAGCCAUCUGGAUGGCCAGGAGACUUUCUCUCGGUUCCGUACAGAAGUGAUAUCGUUUUUCAUAGGGUGGACAGCUUACCUGUGUCCAUGCCGUUUUAUUUAACAAAGGCACGACGUCAAUCACCAGUACUGUGUUCUCGGUUCCAUGUACAUGCUAUAUGCACCAAUGCUGGAUGCGAGGAAGUCUUCUUUUAAGAUGACAAAGUACAAGAAAUUCAAGGCUACAAUGUUGAAAGGUUCUGAAGCAAGUGAUCGCGGUACAACAGAUAAUAUGGAACUUCAACAAGCGCAUAUUAGAAUUCGGAUCCUAUGGAAUCCGACUAACAGACCAAAGAUUUAUUGGAUGAUUUAUGAAGCCUGAAAUAUUAGACUAAACUUAACUUGUCAACUUUGUACAAGAAAAGAAAAAUAUCGGAAUUUUAAAAAUGACCUACAAAGUGGAUUGAAAGUGAAAGAAACGUCUAUUAUCCCUGCAUAUUCCAGGAAAGUGGCUUCUAAGUGAGUCUGAAUUAUGUUGAUUUCUCAUGGUCUGAGUUUCUGGGGAAACCAUAACCAUUACUUCUUACGCUGUUUUCAAGAUAUGAAUAGAAAAAAGAGUGAGAAUUUCAGAUUUUAGAUUAAUAAUAGCAAGAACUUUGGAGAUAAUAUAAAUUUAAAUUACUUUAUUUAAACCUGAAAGUAUUCUGAUAAAUUUCUUCAUGUUUAGUCAUGAAAGAACGUCUUAUGAAUCGAAAAAGAGGCAGAA